RNAcentral lists this ribosomal RNA (450 nucleotides) under uncultured bacterium. RNAcentral's name for it is "partial 16S ribosomal RNA". It matches the Rfam family "Bacterial small subunit ribosomal RNA", at positions 354 to 796 of the family's 1533-position model. The record is from RNAcentral.
GUUAGGAAUCUUCCACAAUGGGGGCAACCCUGAUGGAGCAACACCGCGUGCUGGAUGAAGGCCUUCGGGUUGUAAACUGCUUUUGUACGGAACGAAAAGGCUCUGGUUAAUACCUGGGGCUCAUGACGGUACCGUAAGAAUAAGCACCGGCUAACUACGUGCCAGCAGCCGCGGUAAUACGUAGGGUGCAAGCGUUAAUCGGAAUUACUGGGCGUAAAGCGUGCGCAGGCGGUUUUGUAAGACAGAGGUGAAAUCCCCGGGCUCAACCUGGGAAUUGCCUUUGUGACUGCAAGGCUGGAGUGCGGCAGAGGGGGAUGGAAUUCCGCGUGUAGCAGUGAAAUGCGUAGAUAUGCGGAGGAACACCGAUGGCGAAGGCAAUCCCCUGGGCCUGCACUGACGCUCAUGCACGAAAGCGUGGGGAGCAAACAGGAUUAGAAACCCUGGUAGUCC